AGAGAGGUGGCAGAACUCCAGGAGUUUGGAAGUUUGUCCCAUCCCAGUGUUGAACUCAGCACCACAGCUCCUCUGGUGUGAGAUCGGGAGGGUGUCUGUCUCUUUCUGUCUCAGCCAUUUCCCGCUUCACUCAGGACCCCUUCCUCUGCACAUCUCUUGUCAGGGACCUUAUCACUGCUUUGCUCAGCCACCUUCCCUCAGGAAGUGCUGGAAAAGCCAGCAGGGGGAAUUUAACAGGAGGAUAAUGACCAAAAGUCCAGCUUGCAGUCAUUUUACAUAACUGAAUUUUUUUUUCACCAAAAACAAAUACAGUGGAGCACAACUACUUCAGCUCACGGUGUCCCCUUGUGUCUUUAGAAGAUGAGGAGGCAUCGGUAGUUACCGCUUUGUGCCCUUCUGGGUGUCCCGUUUGCAGGACUCCUGCCUAAACUUGAUGCUCAGGAAGUGGUGGAGAUAACCACAGUGCAGACUCCAAAAUUGCUCCGAGACAUUGUCUUCCUUGUGGAUGGCUCGAACUACAUUGGCAGCACUAACUGGCCCUUUGUGAGAGACUUUAUCAUCAAUGUGGUCAACCAGCUAGAUGUAGCUGCUGACAGGGUCCGGAUUGGUCUCAUGCAGUUUGCUGCAGAUCAGAGAAUUGAAUUUUACUUGAACAGCUACAGCACCAGGGAAGAUGUUGUGAAUAAAACCUCUCAACUCAGGCUGACUGGAGGCUCAGUUUUGAACACAGGAGCUGCCAUGAAACAUGCCCUCUCCAAAAUGUUCCAGCAAUCAACUGGGUCACGCAGGAGGCAGGGAGUCCAGCAGGUGUUGUUUCUGAUCACAGGUGGUCCAUCCAAGGAUGACGUUAAAGUCGUAGCUGAUGAGUUGGCUGUGGGUGGAGUUUUGACCUUCACAGUCAGUUCUGGGCAAGCAGAUGAGGCCCUCAUGAAAACAGUUGCAUUUGUUCCAGAUUUGGCAUACCAUGACACACAGUUCUCUAAUUUACCAGCGCUGGCUGGACAAAUUAUUCCAAAGGUGGCUGUGCAAUUUUUGUAAUUUUCUGGCGGCAUCUGGUGGAAAAGGAGCAUACCGCAACCAACUAAGCACCCCUCCUCCCUUCCCGGGCUCUGGCUUCUCAAACUUGUUUAGACCACUCGCACUGUCGACCGACAUGGGACACUUUAUGGUGUUUCAACGCAAAUGCGACGUAUUCUGGACCGUUUUUGCAACAGUAUUCAACACGACGUAGCAAACAUGGAGACUUCCACGGAGGUCGGGUCCACCUCAUGUAACUAUAUUCAACUCAAAGUUGAUGAAAAAACAUUGGUUCUUUGUUGAAGUUGAUUACAUAUACAUGAACAUAUAGUUGUUGACAAUAUAAUCAGUUUCUGUGAAUAAUUUCAUGAUGUGAGAAUGUCAAACUGUAAUAAAAAGUUUCCUUAGCAACAGUUAAUUUAGUUUUUCCUCAAUUGUUAUUUCUUGUAUUAUGAAUAUAAGAAAUUAUAUUUUGAAAGGGAUGUUUAUGAGGGGCCGUCAGGGACAUUAUUAAGAAUUGGCUCUCACACACUCAACUGAAAAAUUAUACACUCACAUACACAACUGAAACGCUCUCACACACACACAACCAAAACGCUCUCACACACACAACUGAAAAUGACAUGCUCAGACACAACUGUAAUGCUUUCACACAACUGAUUAAUUUGUACGCUCACAUAGACAUUUUCACCUAGAAGGACAUGGCACACAUGGCAGACUUUUAUUUUUGGAUUUUUCAUCUGCAUGUAACACUUUCCAGCCACAUAUAUUAGAGUUGAAUUUGCUUGUUGAUUUUAAUCUUGACAUAAGGCUUGUGGGCUGGAUUUCAGAUUAUUUAACAUAUACGUCUCAGAGGGUGAGAGUGACUGGUCAGAACGACGCUCCUCUUCCACUGGCUCUCAUCAGGUUUGUGCCCUGUCUCAUUUGCUGUCCAUUUUUUACACCAAUGGCUGUAGAAGCCAGCAUGGGGAUAGAGACAUCCUGAAAUUUGCUAGUUAUCGACAGCAUCCUCCAUAAAGAUAUUCUGAGUAUGGGCCAGUGGUAGAGGAUUUAGUGAAUUGGUGUGAUGAGGCCCCCUCCAUUUAAAUGCAUCAAAGACCAAGGAUAUGAUCAUUGAUUUUAGAAGAUCAUACCAUCCACAAUCUCAGACUGUCAUCAGAAACCGGACAGAUCUCUCUCCAUCUCUCUUUGUUUUAUUCAUUGAACCUCUAGCAGCAUCAAAUAGAGAGAGUAGUCGUAUUAGAGGAAUUCCGACAUCUAUUACGGAACACAAAAUUUUCCUUUAUGCAGACGAUGUGUUGAUCCUCCUCAGGGACCCUCAGUCAUCCCUCAAUGAAUGUAAUUCAUGGAAAUAUCUCCCCUAAUCUAUUGGAGCUGUUCACUUUAUAUUUUACACCUCUUCUCCAAUCAGUACACAACAACCUGAACCGCUGGAUUAACCUUCCGCUAUCACUCACUGAGAGAAUAGCAACAAAAAAUAUAUACAUUGUUCCUAAAAUUAACUAUCUAGUCACAAUGGUCCAUAUUACUCCAAACCACUUCUGGUUUAAAUCCCUUAACUCAGCAGUUACCAAAUUCUACUGUAAAAAUAAACCUCCUUGGAUAAAACUUUCUAUAUAACAAAAACCCAAAUCACAGGAUGGUCUUGAAGCCCCAGAUUUUGAAUUUGAUCACCUGGCGUACCAGCUCAAAUCAAAGGCUCAUGCCUCAUUCAAUGGCUCAAAGGUCCUAAGCCUGAGUCUUCCUGGUUGGACACAUAACAAGCAUUAUGUACUGACCUACAGCUAUUUGACCUCCCAUUUAUCACUCUAAGUAUCAAACAACAUCCCUGCCUCCAAAGUUUAUCUAUCGCUGCAACUUUAAAGACUUGUUGGAAAAUAGUAAAGAUCACAAACUCUCACAGAAUUGCUCCAUCUCUCCGCUCUCCUCUUUGGAAGAAUCCAGACUUUACUAUUAACAAGAAAACAUUAAAGUUCGCCCUCUGGAAGGACAAGGGUAUUACACAUCUUCAUCAGAUCAUUCAGGAAGACUUAUCAGCUUCACAGAUCUGGUCCAGAAAUGUAACACUUGAAACUAACUUUUUUUUAGAAUACGUGCAACUAUGAUCAACAAUUUUACCAACACUCAAUAAGACAAUUAACUCUUUAACUAAUCCAAUCCCAAUUGACAAAAUAUCAAAUAUUUCCAGUGCAAAAAAAAUUAUACCAAAAAUGUACAUGAUUAUAAAUCAGGCUGAAACCUUGGUAUGAAACCUGUACUAAUAUCUAAAUGGGUAAAAUAACUCUCCAUUUGUGAUAACACAAACCUCUGGAGCCAAAUCUGCAGUAAUAUCUUCAUCAAGAACAAUAGCAAACAUAUACAGUUUAUACAGUACAAUAUUAUUCAUAGGACACAUUAGACUGUCGCUAGAUUAUAGAAGAUGGGCUUCACAGAAUCAGAUAAAUGCACUAAUUGUUCACUUGACACAGCAGUGAAAAACUUCUAUGCAUCCCUUUUUGUCCAAGAACCUGCAUCCUCUGAGACAUUUCACAACUUCUAUUACCAAGCAGAAAUUCUACCGUCCUCCUAACAUGUUUAACUAUCGCCAAGAAAACUAUCCUCUUAGACAGUGGCACAUUCUCUUCCUGGGACACAUCAUUGAUGAGAUGGGCGUGAGACCCGACCCGGAGAAGGUAGCAGGAAUUGAGAACUUUCCACAACCACAGAAUGUAGCAGAGCUCAAACGGUUUCUGUGAAUGGUCAACAAAUGAACACGCACCUGACUGCAUAGAAGGAGGAAGUCAGAACACAACAUCACAAACUGACUGUUUGUGGCUCAUUCGCAAGUAAGAAAACACCUGACAUUAUCAUAAUAAAUGUAAAGAAUGAACAGUGUUGGGAAAUCUAAUUGAAAAUAGAGUUCUGAAGCACAUCUAAAACAUAAACACAGAUAGCAAUACUACGCAGUUAAAGUGUGUUUUGAGUUUAUAUUUUUGAACUUCAGCGCAUUUCAGCCAUAUUGUAUGGAUGACGGUUUUUACAGUCCUGCCACGGCCACAGAUGAGGGAUUUUUUUUUAAUUUCAGUGUCAGAUCAUUCAAUGUAUUCAUUGCUAUCAAUAUGUUACGAGAUUUUCAAGUUAUAUGACAGAAAGGGCUUCUCACAAAAAUCGCCUACCCCAACUUUAAGAAACUUUGUUUUCCUUGUCAUUUGGUUAUGUCUCUCUGUUAGGUUACUUUUUGUUAUUCAUCGUGUUUCUUGUAUUACGUUUGCAAUUUCCCGUUUUACCUUGUAGUUUCAUUCCUCUUGUCUCUGCACUUCCUGUUUCCCUUUCUUGUAUGUUCACUUUGCCUUUCCUGUGUUUCCUGCCCCUGUGAUUGUCCACCCCUUGUUCCUAACGUGUCUCACCUGUGUCUCACUACCUGUGCCCUCUUGUGUCUAGUCUCUGUGCUUCCCUUUGUCUGUGUCAGUUUGUCUGUUAUGUUCAUGUCAGUUUCGGCUCAGUUCGCUCGCUUUGUUCCUACUUUGAUAACUGUGGUUUGGUUUGUUAUUUUGUUCCUGUUUUUGCAAUUAGUUUUUCUGCCUGAGUUUGAGUUUAUGAUUACUUGAGUUUUCGAUCUUGUUUGUUUUCCCUUAUAAGACUGUACGUCUGUUUUUUUUCUUACUUUUUAUUAAAUAACCUUUGCCCUUG
Long non-coding RNA from Scophthalmus maximus (turbot), 4686 nucleotides. RefSeq lists it as uncharacterized. The record is from RefSeq and is a predicted model, not a curated record. The transcript has 3 exons. Lineage: Eukaryota; Metazoa; Chordata; Actinopteri; Pleuronectiformes; Scophthalmidae.